AGUCACUCUGUUCAGGAGAUAAAAAAUGACCUAGGUAGCCUCAUUCCCAGGAAUAUCCCUUCUGAUCUGCCUUCACUAGUGUGAAGAGUGUUUUGGGCUACUUUUCAGACCUGUGGAAUUGUUCAGGGGAAUUUCCUCAGCUUUCCUUCGAGAUCUGUUUCACCUUCAGAAUAGUGAGGGCAGAAGACUUUGGGCCUCCUUCCCAAAGGCAUAUGGAUGGCAAAGCUCCAUACAGACCAGGAUCCCAUGCUGUCUCCACCAAGUUAUUAUGAUAUUCUACAAGAACAAGACUCGGGGCUCUCUGGCUUGGACUGCCCAUUUUUGGGUAGGCCCAGAAACCUGCAAGACAUGCAAUACCAUCAGAUGAAUGAGAGCCAAGAAGUACCCUCUUUCAAGCGUCGAGGUGGCGUGGUGGACCAUCGGGACAUCAUCUUGGCUCACCAGGCCCACAAAAUCCACAGUACCCCCCAAGCUAAGCGGAAAGAAUGGGACUCACCUCUUACUCACUAGCCUUCUUGUGAGAAUUCCUCACAAAACUGAUUUCAAACUUCCUACCUAGAAAUGAUGAUCACCUAAGUAUCUGAUGACUUCUCCAUGCUAAGGAACUCCACAAGGGGUUCUGUGGAAUAUAGUCCCUGAAAAAGAACACAUCCCUUUUACAUUCAAGGAAGCUAUGGACUAAUUUCAUGACCCAGAUGCCACAGAGGAAGAUGGAGGGAAGAGUCCCUGAGGAGUUCCAAGACUCCAGGGGAGAUGCUGAUUAAGUGGGAGGCGGGAGCUAGGGAGAAAGAAAACAUGGGAGUUCUCACCCUAACUCUGACAAGAGCAGAAAAUGGAGCAGUGAAACUGCCAAAGCUUCCUAAGAACCAUAAGAUCACAGAUUGAGAGCUGGAAGGGAGCCCCCUAGUUUUUUAGAUGAGGAAACUGAGGCUGAGAGAGAUUAAGUGACUUGUGUGAUAUUAUUCAGUUAGUAAAUAUUUGAGGCAGGAUUUGAAGGCAGGUUUUCCUGACUCUAAGCCUAUUGCUUUAUUCAUUGUACCACUUAGCUGCCUCUAGGAGACUUUUGGUGGAGAAGACAGAGCUGAGAAACUCAAAUGAAGGAACAGAAAGUCUUCAAGAGCCAGCUGGUACUGUGGCCAUGGGUAUUAAAGAAUUAUUCAAAUUUGGGCCUUUUAUCCUUGGUUAAAAUGCUUGGAAAUUGGCACCAUCUCCUUAGAAGGAGUAAGAGCCCCUAGAACUCCUAGAGAGCAUUAGUGGAAAGAGAGUCUACUAUGGUAACUGAAGGGAGCCAGAGCUCUAGAGGAAUGGAGUGCCCAUAGCUGGUGUGUCAGCAAGCCAAGGCAGUGCCAUCCAGAGAGCAAGAUGGGCAAAAAUCUCUGGGGAGUCAGAUCAGUGGAGAAUGAAGCAGCAACCAGAGGAGUAGAGGAAGGGAGGAGGCAUCAUUCAAAGACCAAUAAGACACAAGCCCCCAGUGUGGAAGAACAAACCAGGGCCUCAUCCAGGACAGCAC
Molecule: long non-coding RNA, 1510 nt
Filed under: Phascolarctos cinereus (koala)
Lineage: Eukaryota; Metazoa; Chordata; Mammalia; Diprotodontia; Phascolarctidae
Description: lncRNA (ENSPCIG00000019265.2)
Source: RNAcentral